Molecule: transfer RNA, 72 nt
Filed under: Fomitiporia mediterranea MF3/22
Lineage: Eukaryota; Fungi; Basidiomycota; Agaricomycetes; Hymenochaetales; Hymenochaetaceae
Description: tRNA-Pro (AGG) (tRNA-Pro-AGG-1-1)
Rfam family: tRNA
About the family: Transfer RNA (tRNA) molecules are approximately 80 nucleotides in length. Their secondary structure includes four short double-helical elements and three loops (D, anti-codon, and T loops).
Source: RNAcentral
GGUUGUGUGGUCUAGAGGUAUGAUACCUGCUUAGGGUGCAGGUGGUCCGGAGUUCGAUUCUCCGCUCAACCC